UUUUUUUUUUUUUUGAGACAUAGUCUCACUCUGUCACCCAGGCCGGCGUGCAGUGGCAAGAUCUCGCCUCGCUACAACCUCUACCUCCUGGGUUCAAGCAAUUCUCUUGCCUCAGCCUCCCGAAUGGCUGGGAUUACAGGCACGCGCCACCACGCUCGGCUAAUUUUUGUAUUUUUAGUAGAGACAGGGUUUUGCCAUGUUGGCCAGGCUGGCCUUGAACCCCUGACCUCAGGUGAUCCGCCCACCUCAGCCUCCCAAAGUGCUAGGAUUAUAGGCGUGAGCUACUGCGCACAGCCACUUCCCAUUUUUGAUCCCCUUCUUCCCUCUCUCAUGUUUCCAUUGUUUUUUCUGUGCCCCUUCACUCUCAUUUUUCCAUCCCUGAACUUUCCAUUCUCCCCUUCUCUUUAAUGUUGCCAUCCAUUACAGCCCAGCCUUUAAGGUCCUGCAGGAUGGGCCCUUCACAUCCUGUUUUGUCCACGCUAAGUUACACUUAUGCCCAUUCCUGAAUGCUCUGUGCAUUUGCAAUGUUGGGCCUUCUCUCUGGGAUGCUCUCAUUGGCUCUGACAACCCCUACUCCACCUUCACCACCCAGGAGAAAGCCGCCUCCUCCCAAGGGCUCUCUAUUCCAGCACUGCCUGAAGCACGUUGCCUUCACCAUCGGGUCUGGCUUCCUCAGACUGGAGCCCCUAGAGGCUGAGCCGGUAGUUAUUUUAGCUUUGGCCAGAUUCAGUGAUGACUUUUGACAGGGGUGUCCUUCCUUUAAGGUACAUAGGAUGCAUUUCAUAGAACGAGUAGUGAAUGAAUGAAUGAGACGGGUUCUCUUCCGGACAUGCUUUCCAUUCUCUCCCACCCCACAAAAGAACACCUUUCGGUGGCAGAAAUAAAGGCAUUGCACAAAGGGACAAACCAUUAUUUCCCUAGACCUACUAUGCACCACCCUCUCCGCAGGCACUUAACAGACAUUAUCUUAUUUGAUUCUCCCAUUAUCGUUUUAUAGAUGUGAAAGUAGAGGCCCAGAGAGACGAAGCGCUUUGUCUGAAGUCACACAGCUUUUUAUCAGGACCCAGGACGCUGGGGUUGGGGCAUGGAGGUGGGGAGAGUAGAACCCUGGGCUGGGUGUGUCAGAAGUAGAAGCAAAGGAUGGUCUGCAGGUUGGUGCUCAGGAGAAAGCCGGCUGACAUGGAGUGAUGUUCAUUUUAAAUUCAUUAUUGUCUUUGUGAGCAAAUGCCUGCUUAUCUCCCGAAACCGGGAUUCCCGGAAUCCUUGAAUUUGAUGUGAUUUUCCUAAUAACAGCCUGAUAAUCUCCCAGUGAAGUUCUAUCCCCACCAACACCCAAAGAUGUAGGUCCCUGUUUCAGAUGGGGAAACUGAGACAUGAAAGAGCUAAAUUCAACACUUCUGUUCCCCAGUGACCAUGGAUGGUUAAGCCAGGAUGUGGACCUGGGGUACCUGACUGCCAGCCCAUCUGCCUCCAACUGUCCAGCACAGCCUUUAUUUCUCUCGUCCAGUUUGGUGACCCGGGCCCUGGUCAAAGCUGGAAGUCACAGCUUGGUCUGAUGGUUCAUGUGAUCCUUCCCUUGGAAUGGGAGUCAGAUAGACCUGGGUUCAAAUGCCCACCAGGGUCACAGCAUCUUUCAGAUUUCAAUUGUCAGAAAGAGGACAAGCGUGUGAACCAAUGUAUGCAUCAACAGGAUCAUGGCAAGCAGCAACACGUGCUACAAAGGCAUUUUAUCCCAAGCAACCCAAGCGAUGAUCUGAUGAGUAGCAGGUGUCACCACCGUGCCUGCCAAGGGUCACCAGUGUGCCACUCUGCAAGACUAGCUCAUAGGCAGGCUGAUUCAAAAACUUGCCUUUGUUCUCUUGCAGGACUUCUCCUGGCAAGUACUGUAUCAGUGGGGUGCGUCCAGGAGAACAAGCCACAUGAGGCAUUGCAGGGAGGGGACUGAUGUGCAGAGUGACUCCUCAGGUGACGAAAGACCAAACAAUGCUGAGCUCACCCAGAGGCCAGCUCAGGAAGGGGUGGCCACAGAAGGGGAAGAAGACACAAGAGGACUGAGCACGGGGGUCUCUGAAGCCAGGAACUUGGAGGAGGGGCUUGUGGAGUUGGGAAGCCCCAAGAUGGG
RNAcentral lists this long non-coding RNA (2122 nucleotides) under Macaca fascicularis (crab-eating macaque). Its description in RNAcentral is "lncRNA (ENSMFAG00000050712.1)". Lineage: Eukaryota; Metazoa; Chordata; Mammalia; Primates; Cercopithecidae. The record is from RNAcentral.